Molecule: long non-coding RNA, 313 nt
Filed under: Brassica napus (rape)
Lineage: Eukaryota; Viridiplantae; Streptophyta; Magnoliopsida; Brassicales; Brassicaceae
Description: long non-coding RNA (BNAP_LNC020374)
Source: RNAcentral
UAGCUUCGAUCAAGCUCUCUCUCGCUUCCAUGAUGUGUCGCCGCACGCAUCUGACUGUGUCUUUAUCCGGGCAGAGACAUUCCUUUCUUCCUUGACCGGCUCCACAAAGGUACGAGUCAGGCAUUGGUAUGAUGCACUUUCCCAUCAGUUUUCUUUCCAAGUCAUCGUUUGUUUGAACAGGAAUCUCACAUUCAGGGAUAGAUGCUUGGUGAUUAGACCCAACAGGAACUUGCUUCCUAGGAGGUUGAUUCAUCAGGGAAGUAUAAACAUCCUCCAUCGGGGAAAGUGGUCUCCAUGUGAGGUCUGAUCCAGA